Small nuclear RNA from Lutra lutra (Eurasian river otter), 135 nucleotides. RefSeq annotates it as U4 spliceosomal RNA. The record is from RefSeq and is a predicted model, not a curated record. The transcript has a single exon. NCBI's taxonomy places the organism in Eukaryota, Metazoa, Chordata, Mammalia, Carnivora, Mustelidae.
AGCUUUGCACAGUGGCAGUAUUGUAGCUAAUGAGGUUUAUCUUAGGUGCAAUUAUUGCUAAUUGAAUACAAUGAGAUACCACCUCACACCACUCAGAAUAGCUAAAAUUAACAAGUCAGGAAAUGACAGAUGUUG